GAUGAACGCUAGCGACAGGCUUAACACAUGCAAGUCGAGGGGCAGCAUAAAAGUAGCAAUACUUUGGUGGCGACCGGCGCACGGGUGAGUAACGCGUAUGCAACCUACCUAUCAGAGGGGAAUAACCCGGCGAAAGUCGGACUAAUACCGCAUAAAACAGGGGCACCGCAUGGUGAUAUUUGUUAAAGAAAUUCGCUGAUAGAUGGGCAUGCGUUCCAUUAGGUAGUUGGUGAGGUAACGGCUCACCAAGCCGACGAUGGAUAGGGGAACUGAGAGGUUGGUCCCCCACACUGGGACUGAGACACGGACCAGACUCCUACGGGAGGCAGCAGUGAGGAAUAUUGGUCAAUGGGCGGGAGCCUGAACCAGCCAAGUCGCGUGAAGGAAGAAGGAUCUAUGGUUCGUAAACUUCUUUUGCAGGGGAAUGAAGUGCGGGACGUGUCCUGUUUUGUAUGUACCCUGAGAAUAAGGAUCGGCUAACUCCGUGCCAGCCGCCGCAGUAA
RNAcentral lists this ribosomal RNA (503 nucleotides) under uncultured bacterium. RNAcentral describes it as "partial 16S ribosomal RNA". It matches the Rfam family "Bacterial small subunit ribosomal RNA", at positions 28 to 523 of the family's 1533-position model. The record is from RNAcentral.